UGGGGUACAAACAAAGCACAAGAAAUUACAUAUCAUAAGAAGAAACUAUGAUAUUUAAAAUACUAAUUAGCAUAAACCAUUUGCAUUACAAAAAGUUACCGGAAACUUCAUUUUUACACUCAUUUUCUAAAUUUACUUUUCACUCACUGCUACAGUCUCCCAUUCUCACCCCCUACCCUACCCAGACAAACUCAGAGAAAUCGAAGUCGCAACGCCAAGCGCGUACACCCCAAUCGCCGUCCCAAUUAACCCCUUCCCGGACCUCGUCGCGGCUCCAACCCCAGCAAUCCCAGCCACCCCAAUCGGAACGCGCCACAUCACCGCCUUCCUGGCGUUCUCCACCACAUCUCCGGCGAAAAGCUCCACCGCCCACUGCUUGAACUCGGCCGGCCCGAUCGUCUGGGCCCGCGGCGAGCGAGUCACGGCCUCGAGGGCCGAGUCGACCCGGGAGCGAGUCGGCGGAGAUGGGACCCAUUUGAGGAUGAGGGGGUGGGGGUGGACGGUGCGCAGCGUUUCGUGGAGGUGGUUGGAGGCUGUGGGGAGCUGGUAGGGGAAGACGCCUUGGAAAGCGUGCUCGGUGAGCGAGAGGCAGUGAGUGAAGGCCGAGUCGCAAGCUGAGUCGAACGUGGCCGAGUUGGAGAGCGACGACUUCACUCGCUUUGAGCUUGAGAUUCCCAUCUCUCCUUCCCCUCUGGUUUUAUGCGCGCAGCGUUGCGUUUCACGUUUUGAGGCCCCAACGG
RNAcentral lists this long non-coding RNA (740 nucleotides) under Prunus dulcis (almond). RNAcentral describes it as "sRNA ncRNA". The record is from RNAcentral. Lineage: Eukaryota; Viridiplantae; Streptophyta; Magnoliopsida; Rosales; Rosaceae.